UACGUAGGGUGCAAGCGUUAAUCGGAAUUACUGGGCGUAAAGCGCGUGUAGGCUGCUUCGCAAGUCGGAUGUGAAAGCCCUGGGCUCAACCCAGGAAGUGCAUUCGAAACUGCAGAGCUGGAGUCCUGGAGAGGAAGGCGGAAUUCUCGGUGUAGAGGUGAAAUUCGUAGAUAUCGAGAGGAACACCGGUGGCGAAGGCGGCCUUCUGGACAGUGACUGACGCUGAGACGCGGAAAGCGUGGGGAGCGAACAGG
This 254-nucleotide ribosomal RNA is filed under the name uncultured bacterium. RNAcentral's name for it is "partial 16S ribosomal RNA". It matches the Rfam family "Bacterial small subunit ribosomal RNA", at positions 524 to 776 of the family's 1533-position model. The record is from RNAcentral.